GAUGAACGCUGGCGGCGUGCCUAAUACAUGCAAGUCGAGCGAACGGACGAGAAGCUUGCUUCUCUGAUGUUAGCGGCGGACGGGUGAGUAACACGUGGAUAACCUACCUAUAAGACUGGGAUAACUUCGGGAAACCGUAGCUAAUACCGGAUAAUAUUUUGAACCGCAUGGUUCAAAAGUGAAAGACGGUCUUGCUGUCACUUAUAGAUGGAUCCGCGCUGCAUUAGCUAGUUGGUAAGGUAACGGCUUGCCAAGGCAACGAUGCAUAGCCGACCUGAGAGGGUGAUCGGCCACACUGGAACUGAGACACGGUCCAGACUCCUACGGGAGGCAGCAGUAGGGAAUCUUCCGCAAAGGGCGAAAGCCUGACGGAGCAACGCCGCGUGAGUGAUGAAGGUCUUCGGAUCGUAAAACUCUGUUAUUAGGGAAGAACAUAUGUGUAAGUAACUGUGCACAUCUUGACGGUACCUAAUCAGAAAGCCACGGCUAACUACGUG
RNAcentral lists this ribosomal RNA (497 nucleotides) under uncultured bacterium. RNAcentral describes it as "partial 16S ribosomal RNA". It matches the Rfam family "Bacterial small subunit ribosomal RNA", at positions 28 to 507 of the family's 1533-position model. The record is from RNAcentral.